UUUCUGAGGAGUAUAAGCUUGUUCCAGAUACACUUUACCUCACGAUAUAUUUCAUCGACCGGUUUCUCUCUCAAAACUACAUUGAAAGACAAAAGUUCCAGCUGCUUGGUGUUAUCUGCAUGCUAAUUGCCUCGCUAUAUCUCAAUACAGUCAACCUAUCCCUUGCAGCACUUUUAACAAUGAUGUUUCUUUCCUCUUUAAUGGAAUGUGAAUCUAUCUUCUGACCUGGGCUUUUAUUUAUUUAUUUAUGGGUGUAAAACCCGGCUUUUCAACAGCAAUUUGCAUAAAUCUUUUCAAUGAUCCUGUUUGAAUGAUUCACUAAAAUAAUUGUCCUUCCAGGCAGUACUUCGUUAAUUGUAGUUAUUAAGGAGAUGCUAAGUCAUCGAUUCAAGUUGUUGUCUGUUAAAUUUUAAUUUUUUGAGGGCCUCUUUCUGGAUUGAGCACAGUUCAAAAAUCAUAUGGAUGUAUCCUUGGAAAUAUGUCUUCCUUGAUGUUCUGACAUGUAGUCCACUGGUGAGGUCUGCUAAUCCAACUCAUGUCUAUACAUCUCUAUACAACAGCUCAUAUACAUGGAACAGACGAAUUGUUAUGGACAACACAACAUAUAUCAUAGCUCAAAAUACUGACUCUGUGACAGUUAACUCACCAGCGAACAAUUCUUGAUCAAAACACUUGAAAGAAAGUUCACCAAUCACAGAAUCUACAGUGUCCCAUAACUUGGGUUUUUUUUUUAAUCACUGUUCUCCAGGUAGAGACAGCAGAGACUGUAACAUGCAUGAAUGAAGCAGGUUGGGUCCCUAGAUGUCUUACUCUUGCCUUGUAAACCUCACUUGGUAAUUUUUAAAAAAGAAAAAAGAAAGUGCUCAUCUGGUUCAGGCCAAGGCUCUUGAGUGGGAUUUGGAAUGGGUCAGGCCCAUCUCAGCUUGGAAGGUAGGCGGGUAGCUGAAAGCCCUACCAACUGUCAUCCAUGAUUUGCCAGUAAACUCCAAAUGCUACCUCAAAAAUAGAAGAAUAGUUCUCUUAUAUGUUUGAAUAUUUUCAAAUCUUUCAUGAUUCCACAGGCAAUUAUUCAUCCAGAAGUAAUUAUUUUUAAAUAUUUGAUUUGUUAGCUAGUAUAGGCAGCCUUUAUUGGGGAAUGUAAUGCAUCAUGAAUGCCAUGAAGCUGGAGCUGGAGUAUUCAUGUAUUUGAAGUGUUGCUUACAUGGUUCAAGAGUAUCCAUGUU
Molecule: long non-coding RNA, 1223 nt
Organism: Magnolia sinica
Lineage: Eukaryota; Viridiplantae; Streptophyta; Magnoliopsida; Magnoliales; Magnoliaceae
Exons: 2
Source: RefSeq, a predicted model, not a curated record